CCUACGGGUGGCAGCAGUGAGGAAUAUUGGUCAAUGGGCGUAAGCCUGAACCAGCCAAGUAGCGUGAGGGAUGAAGGUCCUAUGGAUCGUAAACCUCUUUUAUAAGGGAAUAAAGUGUGGGACGUGUCCUGUUUUGUAUGUACCUUAUGAAUAAGGAUCGGCUAACUCCGUGCCAGCAGCCGCGGUAAUACGGAGGAUCCGAGCGUUAUCCGGAUUUAUUGGGUUUAAAGGGUGCGUAGGUGGCCUUUUAAGUCAGCGGUGAAAGUCUGUGGCUCAACCAUAGAAUUGCCGUUGAAACUGGGAGGCUUGAGUAUGUUUGAGGCAGGCGGAAUUCGUGGUGUAGCGGUGAAAUGCUUAGAUAUCACGCAGAACCCCGAUUGCUAAGGCAGCCUGCCAAGCCAUGACUGACGCUGAUGCACGAAAGCGUGGGGAUCAAACAGGAUUAGAUACCCGGGUAGUC
Molecule: ribosomal RNA, 460 nt
Filed under: uncultured bacterium
Lineage: Bacteria
Description: partial 16S ribosomal RNA
Rfam family: Bacterial small subunit ribosomal RNA
Source: RNAcentral